ACGUCGCUGGUUUAGUGGUAAAAUACAUCCCUGCCACGGAUGAGACUCGGGUUCGAUUCCCGAGCGACGUA
This 71-nucleotide transfer RNA is filed under the name Chroomonas mesostigmatica CCMP1168. RNAcentral's name for it is "tRNA-Gly". It matches the Rfam family "tRNA". Rfam says of the family: Transfer RNA (tRNA) molecules are approximately 80 nucleotides in length. Their secondary structure includes four short double-helical elements and three loops (D, anti-codon, and T loops). Lineage: Eukaryota; Cryptophyceae; Pyrenomonadales; Chroomonadaceae. The record is from RNAcentral.